Molecule: ribosomal RNA, 253 nt
Filed under: uncultured bacterium
Lineage: Bacteria
Description: partial 16S ribosomal RNA
Rfam family: Bacterial small subunit ribosomal RNA
Source: RNAcentral
UACGUAGGGACCGAGCGUUGUCCGGAAUCAUUGGGCGUAAAGAGCGUGUAGGCGGCCCCUUAAGUCCUGCGUGAAAUCCUGCGGCUCAACCGCAGACGGUCGUGGGAAACUGGAGGGCUAGAGUGCGGGAGAGGAGAGUGGAAUUCCCGGUGUAGCGGCGAAAUGCGCAGAUAUCGGGAGGAACACCAAUGGCGAAGGCAGCUCGCUGGGACGGUACUGACGCUGAGACGCGAAAGCGUGGGGAGCAAACAGG